This 649-nucleotide long non-coding RNA is filed under the name Linum usitatissimum (flax). RNAcentral's name for it is "long non-coding RNA (LUSI_LNC006748)". The record is from RNAcentral. Lineage: Eukaryota; Viridiplantae; Streptophyta; Magnoliopsida; Malpighiales; Linaceae.
UGGCGUGAAUAAAUAGAAGAUGUUAUUAAAAAUAUUAAACCUUUAGUUCAAAUAGUAAACAUAAGUGGUCAUAACAGGUCUCCUUCCUAGAGACCACAUGAUGGUGAGAAAGAGAGGAAUCAUUGCCAUUAACAAUGAUUGACAAAGAGGUCAUGGUAAGACAUCCCCGAAUCCAAUUGUUCCAUUGAUUAGAGAAGCCAAGAUGAUGCAUAAGAGAAAAUAGAAAUGGUCAUUCGACGUAGGCCUUCUUCAUAUUCAGUUUGAGUGUCAUGAAAUAUUGUUUUCCUUUCUUUUUGUUGGGGCGCAGCGGACGAGAAUAGAGUAAAUAUAUUGCACUAAUAAACCACACACCGUAAAUAUUUCCCAGGUAAGUUGGAAGUGGCGGUAGUCCGCCACACUUAAAAUCACUAUGGAUGGGUGAUUACCACCGCAAUACCAUAAUGACGAUAAUUAAGCCAACCUCCUUAGACCAAUUUACUGUGGUAAUAUUAAUAAUGCAAUAUAUAACGAAUAUUCUCGAAAUUGCCAAGCACAAAACAGUAAGUAAAUAACACCGGGAUUUACGUAGUUCCCCUCCAAUGCGGAGAGUACAUCUACGGCAGCAGCGACAGCUACGAGCACUUCUUCACUAUAACAAGGUAGCUACAAG